AUGGUGGAAGGCUUAGAUAACGACAUCACGAACUUGAAGUUCCUCUUGCUCUACUUCCAGCAGAUGUCAGGUCUCGGGAUUAACUUUGAUAAAAGUGCAAUGAUGGUGUUGGGCUACUCCCAGGACGAACGCCAGAGCAUCAGGGACCACCUGAACUGUAAGCUCGGAUGCUUCCCCACGACUUAUUUGGGGAUCCCCAUUAGCGACUCCAGGCUCAUGAUGGCUGAGUUGCGCCCCACAGUGAACAAGCACCAACAUCGCAUUGAGCCUUGGCAGGGGAGAUGGCUAUCUAAGGCCGCUCGGACGAUGCUCAUUAACUCGUCCAUGUCUAGCAUGUUUCUGUUCAUUAUGAGCUUCUAUAGCCUGCCAGAGACGCUUCAUCAUGAGAUUGCUAGAGUCCAGAGCCGCUUCUUCUGGGCUGGUGAGGGCGAUAAGCAGAAGUACCACAUGGUUCGGUGGACUGAGAUCUGCAAGCCUCACGAAUAGGGUGGCCUCGGGAUCAUGUCCUCCAAACGCAUGAACAUUGCCCUACUGACUUGGUGGCUAUGGAGGAUUGUGAAUGGGAGGGUGGCCUUUGGCUCCGCAUCAUUCAACAAAAAUACCCUCACGGAUAGCCACUCGCCUUCUGCCAGCGCACCAGAGGGUCUCAGUUCUAGCAAUCCAUCAUAUAGUUACUACCAGUCCUUCGCCUCGGGAACUCGAUAG
This 705-nucleotide ribosomal RNA is filed under the name Triticum aestivum (bread wheat). RNAcentral's name for it is "partial small subunit ribosomal RNA". The record is from RNAcentral. Lineage: Eukaryota; Viridiplantae; Streptophyta; Magnoliopsida; Poales; Poaceae.